Perognathus longimembris pacificus (Pacific pocket mouse) is the source of this 510-nucleotide long non-coding RNA. RefSeq lists it as uncharacterized. NCBI's taxonomy places the organism in Eukaryota, Metazoa, Chordata, Mammalia, Rodentia, Heteromyidae. The transcript is spliced from 3 exons. The record is from RefSeq and is a predicted model, not a curated record.
UAUAGAAGCCAGGGAAUGAGUACAUUUCUUUUUGAGCAAUGUAACCCCCUCCCUAGCUCUCUCCAUUGUUCCCUCCUGCUCCCACCCAUAGUUGUACAGUUCAUUUUAACAUAGUAUCUAGUGAAUACCACUGAUGAAUUUGUUCAUCCUUUACAGUUUUUAACAACUUAAACACAUCUAGAAGUUUCUUUAACCACAUACAGUAUGACCAAAUAAUUUACUUAACUCUAUUGUAUAAGACCAUUUCUCCUGUGACUCACUCCUCUGUCCUUAAAGUUUCUUUUGCUAUCCUAUCCACAUUUCUUAAAACACAACUUUCCUGUGAUGUAUUUCAAGCUGCCUUAAUGAUUUAAUCAGCUUAUUUUUCUGACUGCUGUUAUCUUUCCCCUUACAUUUCAACCUUUUCCAGCAAGUAAUUUCUGGCAGUCAAGUAUCAUCUUUUAUACUUAUUUCCAAAUCUCAUGAUAUGAGUAAAGUUGGCAACACUGUAGACUGUUGUUGCAGUUCUAA